RNAcentral lists this ribosomal RNA (159 nucleotides) under Burkholderia cenocepacia. Its description in RNAcentral is "partial 23S ribosomal RNA". It matches the Rfam family "Bacterial large subunit ribosomal RNA", at positions 1 to 158 of the family's 2925-position model. Lineage: Bacteria; Pseudomonadati; Pseudomonadota; Betaproteobacteria; Burkholderiales; Burkholderiaceae. The record is from RNAcentral.
GUUAUAGGGUCAAGCGAACAAGUGCAUGUGGUGGAUGCCUUGGCGAUCACAGGCGAUGAAGGACGCGGUAGCCUGCGAAAAGCUACGGGGAGCUGGCAAACGAGCUUUGAUCCGUAGAUGUCCGAAUGGGGAACCCACUCCUUUUGGAGUAUCCAUGGC